This 2265-nucleotide long non-coding RNA is filed under the name Apis florea (little honeybee). RNAcentral describes it as "uncharacterized LOC116414620". The record is from RNAcentral. Lineage: Eukaryota; Metazoa; Arthropoda; Insecta; Hymenoptera; Apidae.
UGAAAAUAUAAAUUUUACUUGAUAAAAUAUAAUUAAAUAUCUUUUACACAUAAAUCCAUAAAGGAAAAGUCAAUCUUGCUGGCAUAUGAAGUUUUUUCGAAGGAACUCUUUUUACGACAGUGCUUCGGACGGCACAAAGAAAGCGUGUCAUGCCUAAAAAUACGCAAGGCACGCAGGUAGAUGUGAAGAGGUCGUAGGGACUGGAGGGAAUAAAAAAAAGCAAAGGAAUUGCACAAGAGCAGCGAUUUGGUAUUCAAAUCGCUAGGCAUGUUCCCGCCUCUCUCGUGGCACAGGACCUCCUCCUCCUGUAGCAAUAAUACGAAGGAGGAAUUCGGUCAACUGUUUAAUUCACAUUGAUAUUAAAUUACUCGUUCACUUCCAAAGAGAAACGUCCUCGAGAAACUUCAAUGCGAGAACCAACAGAGGCGUGGAGACUUUAACGACCGCACGUGCAAUGUCUGACUAGCACGGUUACAUAAAGUCAGAAUCAUCGACAAAGGCUUGGUUAUUUCGUGUUUCCGAAUGUUUCACUUUCUCCUGUGGCAUCCGUAUGCUUCGGAAUGAAGCUGUUCCAUAUCCAAGAAUUAAAAUAUCGACGUUUCAUCGUAAUUACAAUGUACACGAUCGCUCAACCGGAUACUAAAUGUUCACCAGGGUAAAAACUUUCUUAUUCAUUUAAAACUGGAGCAUUUCACAUCGGACAAACUUAUGAAUAUUAAUGUAUCGAAUCUGUUGCACUCGUGGCAAAAUUAUUAUCGCAUGUUUUUCGAAAUCAAAUAGAAUUAAUAACGAUUUCCCACUUAGAUUAACGUCACGCCAAUAAAGAUUUGUAAAUACAUCCUGUUCAUUGUGAAAUCUCUUCAACAAUCCAGGGUUUUCCCGCGUGUCAUCGCACAUUACACUGAUAUCAGAAACAUCACAGACAAUAGCACGCGAAACGGUCAGGCAGAGGAACGGUCAUUUAUGUGAUUGAGCGAAAGAAAUCAACCACAUAGUCGGGAAAGACAACGAAAACUCACGUGUCUUUCGAAAGAUAAAAUGUGAGGAAGCGGUUAACGAAAACAGUGAUUGGUAUACGUGGCACCGGAUUGGCCUGUGGCAUAGCUUGACAACACGCACGGUAUGUGCGCACAUCGGCAACCUGUGCACCCACUAACCACUAACCGCCGAACCACGGGAGGCCAAGGUGUGCGCGCGCCAGGAUAAUAUAUGUAUCUAUGUGCGUUAACCACGUGAGAGCGGCCAGCAUCUUUUCUUGGGGUCUCUUAGGUGGGGACUUAACCUAUGGACUGCUCUUUGUCUCUAUCUUUCUCUUGCAUGAACCUUGAAUCCUCGCAAAAUCGCUAGAACUUUUUAAUAUAUCAGUGAAUUUCUGAAUGCAAUCGCACAAAUUUUCAUUUUUCAGAAAUCAUUCCAUUUUUUUUAAAUCAUUAAUUCAACACUGUAAAAAAAAGAAGGUUCGAAUUCCUUUUGCAAAUUUCUUCUCCUCUUUUUGCUUUUUUAACAAAUUGCAUUGUCUGGAGAAAAACAAUUUCUUAAUAGAAAUAAAAGGCAACGUCUAUAAAUAGAUUAUCUUGGUCUGUUUGAUCUAUAAAUGGAGACCUAUUUUUUUUUCAUACCAAAAUAUAACUGUAACCGAGAUGUCGUUGUAUUUGUUUACCUAGUACAUUUCCUCGCGCAGUUAGUGUCGUUUUUUACUUUCAUUAUUGUACUACCAUUUAAUCAACAUGGUAGUUAGUAUCAGUGUCUCGUUUGCCAAGGUAGGCGCUUACUUUUUUAUUCGCCACCCCGUAGACGGCGAGUUCUCACUCAACAUUCCCGGCAAUCUCUGAUCGACGAGUUUUUAUGAAGGUCGUACGAACUACGUGAGUCUACCCACUUAUCCAGCUGCAUCGCUAAUAUAAAUGUUUAUGCUAUUUGUGAUUGCGUGAAAUGUGCGAAAAAUGGAUCAAAAUUAUGCACAUUAUAUAUAAUAUAAUACAUAUAUAACAUGUUAAAUGUUAAAAUAUACCGUAAAAAUAAUAAACAAUUGAAAGCAAUAAUAAUUUUACCAAAUUUUAAUUAUUACAUAUCUAUGUUUUCAAUUUUUGUUAUUCGAUUUUCAAAAAAAUCAAGAAACUCAAAUUUGUGAAACAUCAUAAUGUUCUCCAAAGUGUAGAUAGAGGGUCUUGUUGGACAAGACAUAGAUGCUCAAAGAAGUUGUAAUUUGAUAGCAAUAAUUGUGAUCUUUUGAAAUAAUAAUAUUUGAAUGAAUUUUCAAUACAA